CACUCCGGGGGAAAGCCAGGCCAGCAGCAGUCCUCCGGGGAGAUCGUGUGAGGAACUGAGGCCUCCCACCAACAGCCACCUUGGAAGUGAAUCCUCCAGCCCCGGUCAAGCCUUCAGAUAAGAGCUGCCCAGCCCAGCAUCCUGACGGACGCCUCACGAGAGAGACUAAACCAAAACCGCUCAGCUGAGCCUUUCUGAAUUCCUGACCCUCAGCUGUGAGAGUGUGCACCUGACCGAGGACGUGGAGACAGCGGCUACGUGAGAUGCUGUCCAUCAGAUACCACGUUACAGAUGUCUGUAAGAUGAGAAGAUGGAUGUUAGCUGAGCCUCGUGCAAUGAUCAUUUCACAUUAUAUGAAAAUCAAGCCAUCAUUCUGCCUGCCUUCGACUUCCACAGUGAUGUAUGUCAAUUAUAACUCAAUGAAACUGGGAAGAAAAAGGUUAUGGUCAAAUGAGUUCCAGGAAUAAAACUUAAUUCUAAGAAGAUUAUUCAGAUUCAUCACAUCUUUUCUAAUCAUUGGAUUAAACAACAACAACAAAAGUAUCUCAUUUUGAUUUAAUCAGAUCUGGGAAUAAAAUUCACAACUGUCAUGCUGUUCUAGGGAUUGCAAAUCUUUAA
Molecule: long non-coding RNA, 618 nt
Organism: Suricata suricatta (meerkat)
Lineage: Eukaryota; Metazoa; Chordata; Mammalia; Carnivora; Herpestidae
Exons: 3
Source: RefSeq, a predicted model, not a curated record